This 444-nucleotide ribosomal RNA is filed under the name uncultured bacterium. RNAcentral's name for it is "partial 16S ribosomal RNA". It matches the Rfam family "Bacterial small subunit ribosomal RNA", at positions 50 to 523 of the family's 1533-position model. The record is from RNAcentral.
AACACAUGCAAGUCGAACGAAUAAGAGCCUAGCUUGCUAGGAAUUCUGUUAGUGGCAGACGGGUGCGUAACACGUGGGAACUUACCUUGCAGUAUGGGAUAACAACGGGAAACUGUUGCUAAUACCAUAUACUCUCUGAGGCGAAAAGAUUUAUCGCUGUAAGAUAUGACCGCGCUAGAUUAGGUAGUUGGUGGGGUAAUGGCCUACCAAGCCUACGAUCUAUAGCUGGUCUGAGAGGACGACCAGCCACACUGGGACUGAGACACGGCCCAGACUCCUACGGGAGGCAGCAGUGGGGAAUAGUGGACAAUGGGCGAAAGCCUGAUCCAGCAAUGUCGCGUGAAUGAUGAAGGCCUUAGGGUUGUAAAGUUCUUUCGGUGGGGAAGAUAAUGACGGUACCCACAUAAGAAGCUCCGGCUAACUCCGUGCCAGCAGCCGCAGUAA